CCUACGGGAGGCUGCAGUGGGGAAUAUUGGGCAAUGGAGGAAACUCUGACCCAGCAACGCCGCGUGAAUGAUGAAGGUCUUCGGAUUGUAAAGUUCUUUUCUAAGGGAAGAAGAAAGUGACGGUACCUUAGGAAUAAGCCUCGGCUAACUACGUGCCAGCAGCCGCGGUAAUAUGUAGGAGGCGAGCGUUAUCCGGAAUGACUGGGCGUAAAGGGGGCGUAGGUGGUUUUGCAAGUCAGUAGAGUAACCCCAAGGCUCAACCUUGGAACUACUACUAAAACUGCUGGACUUGAGUGCAGGAGGGGCAACCGGAAUUCCUAGUGUAGCGGUGGAAUGCGUAGAUAUUAGGAGGAACACCAGUGGCGAAGGCGGGUUGCUAGACUGUAACUGACACUGAGGCACGAAAGCGUGGGGAGCAAACAGGAUUAGAUACCCGAGUAGUC
This 443-nucleotide ribosomal RNA is filed under the name uncultured bacterium. RNAcentral's name for it is "partial 16S ribosomal RNA". It matches the Rfam family "Bacterial small subunit ribosomal RNA", at positions 338 to 795 of the family's 1533-position model. The record is from RNAcentral.